UCUGGCGUCGUCUAAAGGCAGGACAAGGGACUUUGAAUCCCUGAAUCUAGGUUCGAGUCCUAGCGCCAGAACCA
RNAcentral lists this transfer RNA (74 nucleotides) under Polyangiaceae bacterium. RNAcentral describes it as "tRNA-Gln". It matches the Rfam family "tRNA". From Rfam's summary of the family: Transfer RNA (tRNA) molecules are approximately 80 nucleotides in length. Their secondary structure includes four short double-helical elements and three loops (D, anti-codon, and T loops). The record is from RNAcentral. Lineage: Bacteria; Pseudomonadati; Myxococcota; Polyangiales; Polyangiaceae.